CUUUAUUUUCUCAAUGACGCCCCCUCCUCUUCGUAUUCUCCAUAUAGUUUCACUCACCCAAACAAAUAACCCCCUUCAUCAUCAGCCGUGGCAAAGCUACCAUACAGAUCUUGCUCUGAGCGGCGCUAUGGUGCUUCUCAUGGCACGGUGCCGCUGCUAGCCCAGCGUUCGUGGGGGGGUCGCCGCCUAGACGUGUAUGUUGCUGCCGACCCAGGCCCCUGCGAUCACCGCAAUUGAUUUGAGCCCGCAAUCUGUUGCCGAUGAAUCAAUCCCCGCGGACACCACUGGCCCAAUCCUCGUGCCCCGGUGUCGACCAUAGCUCCAGGCAAGCCACACGUCUCACUGCUGUCAUCCUCCUCCAGCAUCUCCUGCACCAUUAGGUGGGUGUGCUCUCCUUCUUCUCUAUCUCCCCAAAUCUAAGCGAUCUCAAGUUUAUUUGGGUUGGAACUUGGAAGCUCUGAUUUAUAUGUGGUAGGAAGCAUCUUUUAGAAGCGAGAUCUGUUCUGUUUCCAGCCGCCUCAUCUGUGCAGCAGUCCGGUCAGUCUUUCUAAUCCACAAUCCUCUCUAAUUCAAGCAUUCUCGGCAAGCAUGAAACAACCAUCUCUGUUCCAUCUUCGUUUUAUUUUAUUUAUUUAUUGUUGGAAGGAAUAAACAGAUGGAACAACGUUGAUUUAAAUCGACAGCGCUGAUUGGACGGAAUAAACAGGUAUAUUGCUGCCCGACAGAACUAUUGCACGGACCCGCCAAAAAUAGAGUAAAUAGCAUAAAGCUACUACUUUACGGGUUAGGAUUCUAAAAAACUACCGAAUUUAUUUUCUUCGUUGAUAACUAUCAAGUCAGGGGUCGGCUAUUUCAAAAAACACAAAACCCUCGGUGCUUUACAAUUAAUCAUGAUUAUGACAAUUGGGGCCCGCAUGUAAGAAAACUAAUAAGAGUGGACCAUUAAGUUGCACGUUAUGACAAAUGGGACCCAUGUGUCAGCCUCACAAAAAUCCCCAAUACAAAAAAAAACAAAAUCCCUAAAUUCUCUACUCGUUCCUGUCUUCUUCCUUCGAUCUGUCUUCUUCCUUCGCUCAGAUCGGGAGGCAGAGAGGAUCCCACCCUCCCGAUGCAGUCGCCCGUCGCCAGCCUGCGGCGCGCCGCCGCGCCUAGGAGUCGCCGGAUCUACUCUGGCCCUUCGCCCUGCGCCUCCCCGCUGUUCCUCCCCUCGCCGGGAUACCAGCGCCGCCGGCCGCCUUCCUCGAACCGACGAAAUCGAGCGACAUCAACUGUUGCGCCCCUGCAUCGAAGCUUGCCGGAAUCAGGUCGCUGACCGCUGGCCUCUCCCCUCCAUCCUCCCUAGUUCUAGAACGGGAGGAGCCGGCCAGGUGGAGGGUGGAGGCGCUCCAGCGUCGGGUGGAGUCCUCCUUGUGAGCCGAAGGAGGGGCUAGCGAGGGAGCUCAGCCUCCACCUCCUUGUGCCCCAAGCUCCGGCGUGCUCUCCCGGGUGCGUGGACGAGGGCACAGGCGGCUCGAUGUCGAUGCGGGGCAGGGGUCAAUGCGGCGAUGCGAAGCGGUUGCCGGCGACGUGCGACGGCACGGUGGAGACGGGAGCUCCAGUGGCAGCGCGGCAGUUCGUGCGGCGGCCCGUCCUGCGGUCGGACCUGGCUUGCGUGCGGCAGGUGGUGGAGGUGCGGUGGUGGAGGUGGUGGAGAAGGGAGAGAAGAAAAAAUAAAAGGAAGAAGAGAGAAUUUACAUGUGGAUCCCACGUGUAAGUUAACGGUCAAACAAAACAGUCAAACAAACAGAAUGUUUAAGAGUGGGUCCGACUUGUCAGAAAACGGCUUAAAUUGCUAACAACGAGCGUUUUGUGUUUUUUGAAACAGCCGACCCCUGAUUUGGUAGUUAUCAGCGAAAAAAUAAAUUUGGUAGUUUUUUAAAAUCUUAACCUGUAAAGUAGUAGCUUUAUGCUAUUUACUCCCAAAAAAGGACAGUACUAUUCCAUGAUGAAUGUCAUCAGAUCGAUCCAAUACCCGAAUAGAUGGGCAUGUGUGUUUCGGCAGUACUAUCCAAUCUGGACAUCAUCUAGCCUGGCAAGCUAGCACUGUAUUGGAUUAGGCGUGGUUUGGAUUUAUCAUUCAAAUGAAAGGUUUUGUAAAUAAUGUUGUGGACAUGAGUUGCUGGUUAAUCGACUGGCGGCUUCAAGUGGAA
Triticum aestivum (bread wheat) is the source of this 2189-nucleotide long non-coding RNA. RefSeq lists it as uncharacterized. NCBI's taxonomy places the organism in Eukaryota, Viridiplantae, Streptophyta, Magnoliopsida, Poales, Poaceae. The transcript has 2 exons. The record is from RefSeq and is a predicted model, not a curated record.